Lolium rigidum is the source of this 2873-nucleotide long non-coding RNA. RefSeq lists it as uncharacterized. Lineage: Eukaryota; Viridiplantae; Streptophyta; Magnoliopsida; Poales; Poaceae. The transcript has 10 exons. The record is from RefSeq and is a predicted model, not a curated record.
ACCGUCUCCACCCACACGAGCCGCCAUGGAGCACGAGCAGCCGCCAAACCCUAACAGAGGGCAACGCCUAGAUCGACCCACAGCUCUUGGUGGUGGCUUGAAAAAGAAGCGCAGCCCAUACUGACACUAUUCUUCUCAACGGCGGAGCCUAAGCCAAGUUGCUGAUUUGGUUGGUAAUUCUCGGGAAACUAUGAGGUGCCUACAGAUCGCCUCAGAUGCUAAAUUGAGAUUGAGCAUUUUCGCAAAGCUCUAUUUGGUGCUGAGCAGGUCUUUCUCUCAGCCUACUAAGCUCACUGAUUCUCUUGCAAACAUCAACAAGGCUGACCAGCUGAUUAGGCAUGUUUGGUCUUGUUUUGAUACUUUGGUCUUGUUGUGGUCCAUGAGAAACCUGUUGCUCUUAGUUCUCUGGAUACAUGUAUGCUUCAGUACCUCUUUCUAGAGUACUUGCAGGUUCCUAUGGUGAAUGAUUACCUUGAUUCAUGGGGAUAAAUAAGUGUUCGCCCAGAUUGAAUGUGGGGAAUUGGGAAAUUGCGGUGCUACUGUGAGGAGGCAAAGUGUGCAUCGGUUGGUUGGAAAUUGUGCACCAUAGUGCGCCCAUGGUGGUGUUAUUUAGAUGAACCUAUCAACUGUGAUAUUAAGGAAGUCGGUCUAGAGCAAGUUCUCGGAAAAAAUAGGUUGGCACUCAGGUGUUUUCAUGUUCUACCAUAUAUGAGACCUGGUUAUGUGAUAAGAAGCAUCUCCACAAUUAGUAAUACAUGUCUAGCAUUCUAGAGUUCAUGUUGUUCAUCAUGGGAGAGGAUUCCAUUGUCAUGUUACCUUUCUUGCAUUAAAUUCCCAUGUGCGAUCCCUCUGAUUUACAUGUUUAGGCGAGGUCCUUGCAGUUGGAUAUCAAAAUGGUCAGGUGGCUAUUUUUGAUGCAAGUCAACUGUCAAUGAUGUCCCCUGUGGAUUGUGCAUUGUGCUAGAUCUAUCUUAGAAAGGUCGGCUCUGAAAUAAUCUUCCUGCUGACACCGCCAUUGGUUGUGAAGCCUCCUGGACCUAGCGAUUGCAAGAGUACCACCGUUUCAGAUGUCAAGAGGGCCUUGUUUGGGAAACCAUGUCUGAGCGUGGGUCUAAAACUGUGGAAGAGUUAGCUCCUCAUCCUCAGUCUGAAAAGUUGAUUACGUGCAUAUUAACUAUUUGUGCUCAUAUUAUUGCAUUAGAUUAUUUUUCAUAUGAGUUGUUCGCCUUCUAUGUCAAGUUGGUCAGGCUGUAAUUGAUGCUCCAGAUUCUCACCUGCCUCAUCCACCGCAACGACAGGCAAAACUUCUGGGCUUCCGUCUUUUUUAUAUUCAUCUAAUCGUUUUGUUGAUUUUGCGCUUUUUGUACAACAUGUUGCAGAUAUAUAUGUUGUGGAUCAUGCUGAGAACAGAUCAUUUAACUGGAGUUCUGUACCUGUCAUGUUCAAGUUGCUGAAUUACUGAAAGAAGGAGCUAAGGUGGAUGCUGCUGAUUUAUAUGGCUAUCAGGUCUGUAUAUAGACUUCUCUUCUGCGUCUUUGGCCCCGUGUUUGCUUUUGGGUAUCCAACAUUGGUUCCCAACUAAGAAAACUAUGUAUUGUUGAAUAUUUGUGUGCCCAAGUGACCAGUUAUUAUAUCUUGCCAAAGAAUAUGGCAACAAAGUGGCCCCCCUUGAUUUCAUCAGGUUCGUAUUACAUACGCCGUAUGCUCCCACAGUUGUAGAACCUUGUGUGACAAAGUACACUAAAUAGAAGAUAUUCAAAUUAACAAAUUAAAUUAAUGAUCUCCUUGCAAAAAAAGGAACAAGGACAAAAAAAUAACUAAGUCACUAAAUUAGUUGUCAAACAUCAUAGUCAGUUAUGAAGUCAAAGCGAGAUACUACUAGAGUUGUUUUGUGGUACCCUGUCUGUGAGUUACAGGGUCGGAGAUAUGCAGAUAUAAAUGUUGUGUAAAGUUGGAUUAUAUGACUGACAUUAAGCGGUGCAUCCUGAGUGCCUCACUGGUCUUCCAGGACAAACACUUAAAAGGUGGAAAUUGCCAUAUUUUUUAUGUACUCUUCUUACAAGAUAUUUCAUUGGUUCAUGUCUAGACAUACUUUUAUUAGUUUGAUUAUAAUAUAAUUGCAUCUUAAUCUGUACUUGUCGUAGGCUCCGUGGGAUUUGAUGAUGUGAAUGUGCGAAAUCAAGCUAUAAAUUUCUCCCAAGAUGCACACGACUAAUCAAAUCUCAGAAUAUCUUGACAGAUUCUCCGUGGAGUUUUUGUGUAUGGUUAACUCUUGGACGGAAGUGGUUCGACUCCACCAAGAUUCUUUAAUUCUCGGAACCGCGUGGAUAUUUCAAAUACUGUAGAAUGGACAAGUGGAUUCUUUGCAUGUAUACAAAAUUUGAUUUAUAACCCAGGCAGUGUAUCUCCAUUUCCCUUUGCUAACCCAUUUUUUUAUGCAUACACAGCCAUCGAAGAAGGCACAUAUGGAGACAUAGAUCAAGAAGAAAACCGAACUAUCAUCCUCAUAUGGGCUCGGUGUUAGACAACCAUUUUAGGUGACACCAUUCCUCUUUUGUUUGUUUACCAGCCUCUGAUUCCAGCCUGUCAUGUUAUAAACUUCUAAUGGAUGUUGGUGAUGUGUUCUUCGCAUGCCCUGGACUAUGAAUAAUUUGUUAUUUCUUUUAUGGUUGUAUUGUACAUUUGAAGUAGGUGCCCACUGCCUGAUAUGGGUAGUAGAAUUGGUUACCUUAUGUUACCAAGUUUCAUGUUUAUUGGACCUUGGUAGACUGGUGUAACCUAUGUAUGUGCUUGUUCCAGUUAUGUGAAUUCUUAACUCUUCGGUACAUUUUAUUUAUGAAUAGUGAGCACCAUGUACGAUGCCUGGUUCUAAA